GACGAACGCUGGCGGCGUGCUUAACACAUGCAAGUCGAACGGAAAGGCCCUGCUUUUGUGGGGUGCUCGAGUGGCGAACGGGUGAGUAACACGUGAGUAACCUGCCCUUGACUUUGGGAUAACUUCAGGAAACUGGGGCUAAUACCGGAUAGGAGCUCCUGCUGCAUGGUGGGGGUUGGAAAGUUUCGGCGGUUGGGGAUGGACUCGCGGCUUAUCAGCUUGUUGGUGGGGUAGUGGCUUACCAAGGCUUUGACGGGUAGCCGGCCUGAGAGGGGGACCGGGCACAUUGGGACUGCGAUACGGCCCAGACUCCUACGGGAGGCAGCAGGGGGGAAUAUGGCACAAUGGGCGGAAGCCUGAUGCAGCAACGCCGCGUGCGGGAUGACGGCCUUGGGGUUGUAAACCGCUUUCGCCUGUGACGAAGCGUGAGUGACGGUAAUGGGUAAAGAAGCACCGGCUAACUACGUG
RNAcentral lists this ribosomal RNA (468 nucleotides) under uncultured bacterium. RNAcentral describes it as "partial 16S ribosomal RNA". It matches the Rfam family "Bacterial small subunit ribosomal RNA", at positions 28 to 507 of the family's 1533-position model. The record is from RNAcentral.